RNAcentral lists this non-coding RNA (21 nucleotides) under Arabidopsis thaliana (thale cress). The record is from RNAcentral. Lineage: Eukaryota; Viridiplantae; Streptophyta; Magnoliopsida; Brassicales; Brassicaceae.
UACCAUUCAUCUCAGGUUAGU